This 90-nucleotide transfer RNA is filed under the name Pseudomonadaceae bacterium. RNAcentral describes it as "tRNA-Ser". It matches the Rfam family "tRNA". From Rfam's summary of the family: Transfer RNA (tRNA) molecules are approximately 80 nucleotides in length. Their secondary structure includes four short double-helical elements and three loops (D, anti-codon, and T loops). Further hydrogen bonds mediate the characteristic L-shaped molecular structure. tRNAs have two regions of fundamental functional importance: the anti-codon, which is responsible for specific mRNA codon recognition, and the 3' end, to which the tRNAs corresponding amino acid is attached (by aminoacyl-tRNA synthetases). tRNAs cope with the degeneracy of the genetic code in two manners: having more than one tRNA (with a specific anti-codon) for a particular amino acid; and 'wobble' base-pairing, i.e. permitting non-standard base-pairing at the 3rd anti-codon position. Lineage: Bacteria; Pseudomonadati; Pseudomonadota; Gammaproteobacteria; Pseudomonadales; Pseudomonadaceae. The record is from RNAcentral.
GGAGAGGUGCCGGAGUGGCCGAACGGGCCUGACUCGAAAUCAGGUGGCCUCGCGAGGGGUCCCAGGGUUCGAAUCCCUGCCUCUCCGCCA